This 1033-nucleotide long non-coding RNA is filed under the name Felis catus (domestic cat). RNAcentral describes it as "lncRNA (ENSFCAG00000048552.1)". The record is from RNAcentral. Lineage: Eukaryota; Metazoa; Chordata; Mammalia; Carnivora; Felidae.
UUUAGAUGAAUGCUGUGAAGAAAAGGAAAGAGGGGCAGUGGCUGUAAAGAACAGCGGGAAUGAGGCAGUUUCGCUGUGUUGUUUUUCUUUUCUUGUUUUAUGGAGACAGAGACCUGAGUGCAAAGAAGCCGAUGGGGAGGACCCAGUAACCAGAGACUCUAUGGAAGGCUUCGUGUCUGUGAAGGUCAAAUUCAGAGAACUUAUCAGCUGCUGCCUCUCAAGGACAAGGACCAAGGGAGAUCAUCAGCUCCAAACUAAGGGAGGAAUGCUAUACGUAGGAAUCACUCUGUGGUUCCUCUAAUGUCUGCCCAGGUAAGUCAGCAUGUGCUAUGCAACUCUGCCCUCAUGUAGUAAAAUGAAAAUGCCUUCAGCAAGGGGUGAGGUGCAUUUAGUAUGUUUGAUUUAACAAGGGUGGGACCUGUAAAAUUAUGAUUCUGCCGAAGGGUUAAUGUCUUAAAACAGCCUUGCUUAUCUCUUUAUUAUUCAUCGCAUGCUCUAAAACCAACUAACCAAAUGAACAGUGUAAACAGGAAUGAAAAGAUACCCGGGCUUCAUGCUUACUAAAAAGAGGGAACCACCACAUUGGGUGGGAGUUCCAGGGCUGGACCAAACAGGUUGGGGAUAGGUGGGGGGAUUAGAGAGACAGGGUGUGGGGGUAGGUAUGCGACCCAGUGCAGCCAAGGAGAAUAGAGCCAAGGAGUGACCAACAGCAAACCCAAGCUCUGGAAUAAGCCCCCGGGGUCAAAAGGCAGCCUGAUCCAUGGCAGGGAUCAUAUCUGAAGGGUGAGCAGAGGGUAGAGAGUUGGGUGAGCCCAACAGGAACAUGGCAGGAAGAAAGGAAGAGGUUCUGGGCUUUGGUGGGAGCAGGGGACAUGGGCCUGGGGCUCCCUUCCAUCCAUCGGGCUAGCCAAACAGGACUGGGUGCCCAAGGAGACAGGCACCAAGUGAACUGAAAAUUAGAGAUAUGAAUCAGUUCUGUGAACAAAAAUCUGGGGCUUCUGGAGCAAAAUAAAAAGGAGCCAGUGGCUAUCCA